ACGCUUGCCUGAAAGAGGAGACACCGUGAUCAAGAAGGUGGUUCACCCAGGGCGAGGCUUGGCCAUUGCAGUCCGGCUGUGCUUACUCCUGCCAAUUCCCCAAAUGUGGGAAUCUUGACUGAAUUUAAUCGUUAAUGGUAGUGGGGGACUGCGUUUGCACUCGCCCCUG
This is a small nuclear RNA of Megalobrama amblycephala (Wuchang bream), 169 nucleotides long. RefSeq annotates it as U1 spliceosomal RNA. The transcript has a single exon. The record is from RefSeq and is a predicted model, not a curated record. Lineage: Eukaryota; Metazoa; Chordata; Actinopteri; Cypriniformes; Xenocyprididae.